AGCAGUCGCCGCGGGAAUACGGAGGGAGCUAGCGUUGUUCGGAAUUACUGGGCGUAAAGCGCGCGCAGGCGGUUUCUUAAGUCUGAUGUGAAAGCCCCCGGCUUAACCGGGGAGGGUCAUUGGAAACUGGGAGACUUAGAGUGCAGAGGAGGAGAGUGGAAUUCCAUGUGUAGCGGUGAAAUGCGUAGAUAUAUGGAGGAACACCGGUGGCGAAAGCGGCUCUCUGGUCUGUAACUGACGCUGAGGCUCGAAAGCGUGGGGAGCGAACAGGAUUAGAUACCCGCGUAGUCCCUGUCUCUUAUA
RNAcentral lists this ribosomal RNA (303 nucleotides) under uncultured bacterium. Its description in RNAcentral is "partial 16S ribosomal RNA". It matches the Rfam family "Bacterial small subunit ribosomal RNA", at positions 507 to 808 of the family's 1533-position model. The record is from RNAcentral.